This 87-nucleotide small RNA is filed under the name Chryseobacterium polytrichastri. RNAcentral's name for it is "Flavo-1 RNA". The record is from RNAcentral. Lineage: Bacteria; Pseudomonadati; Bacteroidota; Flavobacteriia; Flavobacteriales; Weeksellaceae.
UCUGAGCAGCCCGAUUUGAGCGGAAAUCCUUUUUUUCUGGCAAAAGCGAUGGAAAAAAAAGAUUGGGAGCGGAAGGCGGAUACAGCU